UGAAUACGAGACGCUAAGGCGUCGAAGUAGUGUAUGUCAUACUUCCAAGAAAAGCUUGCACUGUCAUAGAUAAAAAACGCCUGUACCAUAACCGACACAGGUGGGUAGGUAGAGUAUACUAAGGGGCGCGAGAUAACUCUCUCUAAGGAACUCGGCAAAAUAACUCCGUAACUUCGGGAGAAGGAGUGCCUUAUUCUUAAGGUUGCAAUAACAAGAUCCAAGCAACUGUUUAUCAAAGACACAGGUCUCCGCUAAGUCGUAAGACGAUGUAUGGGGGCUGACGCCUGCCCAGUGCCAGAAGGUUAAAGAAGCUGGUUAGCAUUUGCGAAGCUAGUAACUGAAGCCCUGGUGAACGGCGGCCGUAACUAUAACGGUCCUAAGGUAGCGAAAUUCCUUGUCGGGUAAGUUCCGACCCGCACGAAAGGCGUAAUGAUUUGGAUACUGUCUCGGAGAGGGGCUCGGUGAAAUAGACUUGUCUGUGAAGAUGCGGACUACCUGCACCAGGACAGAAAGACCCUAUGAAGCUUUACUGUAACUUGAAAUUGAAAUUGGACUUUAUUCGCGCAGUAUAGGUGGGAGGCGUUGAUUAUAAUCUUGCGGGAUUAUUGGAGCCAUUAGUGAGAUACCACUCUUGUAAUGUUAGAUUUCUAACUUUGAAUCAUUAUCUGGUCAAAGAACAGUUUCAGGCGGGCAGUUUGACUGGGGCGGUCGCCUCCUAAACGGUAACGGAGGCGUACAAAGGUUUCCUCUGAACGGUUAGAAAUCGUAUCUAGAGUGUAAAGGCAUAAGGAAGCUUGACUGUGAGACCUACAAGUCGAGCAGGGACGAAAGUCGGUCUUAGUGAUCUGACGGUACUGAGUGGAAAGGCCGUCACUCAACGGAUAAAAGUUACUCUAGGAUAACAGGCUGAUCUCCCCCAAGAGUUCACAUCGACGGGGAGGUUUGGCACCUCGAUGUCGGCUCAUCGCAUCCUGGGGCGGUAGUACGUCCCAAGGGUUGGGCUGUUCGCCCAUGAAAGCGGUUCGCGAGCUGGGUUCAGAACGUCGUGAGACAGUUCGGUCCAUAUCCGGUGUAGGCGUUAGAAUAUUGAGAGGAGCCUUCUUUAGUACGAGAGGACCGAGAAGGACAUACCUCUGGUGUACCAGUUAUCGUGCCAACGGUAAACGCUGGGUAGCUAUGUAUGGAGUGGAUAACCGCUGAAAGCAUCUAAGUGGGAAGCCCACCUCAAGAUAAGUAUUCUCAU
Molecule: ribosomal RNA, 1243 nt
Filed under: metagenome
Description: bacterial LSU rRNA
Rfam family: Bacterial large subunit ribosomal RNA
Source: RNAcentral